This 222-nucleotide unclassified non-coding RNA is filed under the name Hevea brasiliensis (rubber tree). Lineage: Eukaryota; Viridiplantae; Streptophyta; Magnoliopsida; Malpighiales; Euphorbiaceae. The record is from RNAcentral.
AAACAGGUACCUAAAGUGGACAUUUAUUAUUAUAUAUUUUAUGUUAUUCUCUUUAUUGUUCCAAUUUUAUUGGAUUGCCUAUUAGGAGGAGUAUAUCUGAUUUAGGACAGAUUGAAAUGCCUGGCUGCUGAUGCUUUUAUGGUGGGUAUAUCUCAAGCAAUUGAUGAAUUUUAGGUUCAGAUUUAAAGGAUGAGGAGCUUUUAGGAGGUUGAAUUAGGGUGA